This 65-nucleotide transfer RNA is filed under the name Thampoa tiani. Its description in RNAcentral is "tRNA-Val". Lineage: Eukaryota; Metazoa; Arthropoda; Insecta; Hemiptera; Cicadellidae. The record is from RNAcentral.
CAGAUUGUAGCUUAUUUUUAAAGCUAAUUAUUUACAUUAAUUUGAAAAUUUAUUAUUCGUUCUGA